AGAGUUUGAUCGUGGCUCAGGAUGAACGCUGGCGGCGUGCCUAACACAUGCAAGUCGAGCGAUUUACUUCGGUAAAGAGCGGCGGACGGGUGAGUAACGCGUGGGUAACCUGCCCUGUACACACGGAUAACAUACCGAAAGGUAUGCUAAUACGAGAUAAUAUGCUUUUAUCGCAUGGUAGAAGUAUCAAAGCUUUUGCGGUACAGGAUGGACCCGCGUCUGAUUAGCUAGUUGGUAAGGUAACGGCUUACCAAGGCGACGAUCAGUAGCCGACCUGAGAGGGUGAUCGGCCACAUUGGAACUGAGACACGGUCCAAACUCCUACGGGAGGCAGCAG
Molecule: ribosomal RNA, 337 nt
Filed under: uncultured bacterium
Lineage: Bacteria
Description: bacterial SSU rRNA
Rfam family: Bacterial small subunit ribosomal RNA
Source: RNAcentral